GAUGAACGCUGGCGGCGUGCCUAAUACAUGCAAGUCGAGCGCGAGAUUGAGGAGCUUGCUCCUCAUGAUCGAGCGGCGGACGGGUGAGUAACACGUAGGCAACCUACCCUUGAGAUUGGGAUAACUACCGGAAACGGUAGCUAAUACCGGAUACGACUUUUCCACAUAAGUGGAAUGGUUAAAAGGCGGAUUUAUCUGCCGCCCAUGGAUGGGCCUGCGGUGCAUUAGCUAGUUGGUGAGGUAGUGGCUCACCAAGGCGACGAUGCAUAGCCGACCUGAGAGGGUGAUCGGCCACACUGGGACUGAGACACGGCCCAGACUCCUACGGGAGGCAGCAGUAGGGAAUCUUCCGCAAUGGACGAAAGUCUGACGGAGCAACGCCGCGUGAGUGAUGAAGGGUUUCGGCUCGUAAAACUCUGUUGUUAAGGAAGAACACUUGAGGUAGUAACUGGCCUUGAGAUGACGGUACUUAACCAGAAAGCCACGGCUAACUACGUGCCAGCAGCCGCGGUAA
RNAcentral lists this ribosomal RNA (514 nucleotides) under uncultured bacterium. RNAcentral's name for it is "partial 16S ribosomal RNA". It matches the Rfam family "Bacterial small subunit ribosomal RNA", at positions 28 to 523 of the family's 1533-position model. The record is from RNAcentral.